UACCCUCAAAUCCUCUUGUGGCAUGAAUCAGACCAAAAAUUUUCCAAAUCUUUCCACUUGACCACACAGAAAUUAGCAGAAAUGCAAACCACCAGAAGUGCAUGAGACGAGGCUGGCUAAGACAAGGAUUAAAUUAGACUGCCUUUGCCAGAAGACAGAAAGAAGUCAUUGCCAAAACAACAACAACAACAACAACAACAAAACAGUUAAAGAUAGUCAACUCCAGAGCACCAGCAAUAGCUAAGCAUCAACUACACAUUUGUAUUCCCUUCUAUUCGAUGUUGAUUAAUUCUAUUACAUCAUACACAAACAAUCCAGAAAGAAAAAGGAGGUGUAGAAGGAGGAGGAAAAGGAGAAUGAGGAGGUGGAGUAUAAGUGGAGAAAAGACAUUAAAGUAAAUUAAAUUACAUGGAACAAAAUGAAGACAUUAAAAGGCAUUAAGGUAAAUUAAAUUACGUGGUACAAGAUAAAGACAUUUGAUUUGUUAUUUGGGAACUCUAUGGUUUUCCGGCAGUUUGUU
RNAcentral lists this long non-coding RNA (520 nucleotides) under Rhinopithecus bieti (black snub-nosed monkey). RNAcentral's name for it is "lncRNA (ENSRBIG00000045913.1)". Lineage: Eukaryota; Metazoa; Chordata; Mammalia; Primates; Cercopithecidae. The record is from RNAcentral.